Molecule: ribosomal RNA, 253 nt
Filed under: uncultured bacterium
Lineage: Bacteria
Description: partial 16S ribosomal RNA
Rfam family: Bacterial small subunit ribosomal RNA
Source: RNAcentral
UACGGAGGGUGCAAGCGUUAUCCGGAUUCACUGGGUUUAAAGGGUGCGUAGGCGGACAGGUAAGUCAGUGGUGAAAUCUCUGGGCUUAACCCAGAAACUGCCGUUGAUACUAUUUGUCUUGAAUAUCCUGGAGGUAGGCGGAAUAUGUCAUGUAGCGGUGAAAUGCUUAGAUAUGACAUAGAACACCAAUUGCGAAGGCAGCUUACUACAUAGUUAUUGACACUGAGGCACGAAAGCGUGGGGAUCAAACAGG